RNAcentral lists this ribosomal RNA (253 nucleotides) under uncultured prokaryote. Its description in RNAcentral is "partial 16S ribosomal RNA". It matches the Rfam family "Bacterial small subunit ribosomal RNA", at positions 524 to 776 of the family's 1533-position model. The record is from RNAcentral.
UACGUAGGGGGCAAGCGUUAUCCGGAUUUACUGGGUGUAAAGGGAGCGUAGACGGCAAAGCAAGUCUGAAGUGAAAGCCCCGGGCUCAACCCGGGAAUUGCUUUGGAAACUGUUUAGCUAGAGUGCAGGAGAGGUAAGCGGAAUUCCUAGUGUAGCGGUGAAAUGCGUAGAUAUUAGGAGGAACACCGGCGGCGAAGGCGGCUUACUGGACUGUAACUGACGUUGAGGCUCGAAAGCGUGGGGAGCAAACAGG